ACGUGACCGCCCCUCAAAAUGGCCGCCGCGCGCCUCUGCCCCGCAGGGCUGCGCGGAGUCCGGACCGCACCUGCCUCACCUGCUCUUGGAGGGCUGGCACCUGUCACGUGACUAUCCAGUCUGCGUUUCCCUUUAGGAACUGGUCGUGGCGCCGUUCUACCGGCUAAGCGAGGAAGCAGCUGCCAUGUUGUAAGGACAUUCAAGCAAUCAUCCUCUGGAGAAACAAUGUGGAGGAACCAAGUCCUCCAGCCACGGGAAUGAGCGACUUUGGAAGCACAUCCUCCAGCCCCAGUCAAGCUUUCCGAUGACAGCUGUCCUCACCAACAUCCUGAUUGCAACCUCAUGGGAGAUCCUAGGCCAGAACCACCCACCUAAGCCACUCAAUGGAUUGCCAACCCUCAGAAACUGUGACUAUGACAUUAACUUUCUUCCCGCCCUUGGACUUAAAUUAGAACAUUGGCUUUUCCUGGGUCUUGAGCUACCAGCCUUCAGACAAGACCUGCAUCAUCAACUGUCCUGGUAUUCGGGCCAGCAGACUUGGACUGGAACUAAACAUCAGCUCUCCUGGGUCUCCAGUUUGCCAACACAUCCUGAAGAUCUUGGGGCGUGCUUACUUCCAUGAUCAUGUCUGUCUUCUAGCCUUCUAUUCUAGCGUGUUACCUCACCAUUCACAACACAGCACUUCCAUCUCACAGUACAAGGUGGACACACCGAUGUGCAAGACAUCUCCACACCAGGAAGGGAGAGACGAGAAGGGUUGCCAUCCUCCUUGCCUUUUAAGGCCAUAACUCAGAAGCUGCCGGCAUCCCAUUGGCCAAAAGCCGUUCACAUGCAAGGGAGCCUGGGAAAUGCAGUCUUUAGCUGUGUAAUCCUGUGUCCAGUGAAACUUCUGUAUCAGAGGUGAUACCUAGGCAUCUCUACCAACAAUUAAAUGGUUGAAACCAAGCAAGCAGAGGGCUGAAACCCAAUAUGGUGAUAGCUGAAUGAUGCGUAGUGGGACUUGGAAUAAGCAAACAAUGUUGUUGUUCAGUUGCUAAGUCAUGUCCAACUCUGCAACCCCAUGAACUGCAGUAUGCCAGGCUUCCUUGUCCUUCACUACCUCCCAGAGUUUGCUCAAAUUC
Long non-coding RNA from Cervus elaphus (red deer), 1121 nucleotides. RefSeq lists it as uncharacterized. The record is from RefSeq and is a predicted model, not a curated record. The transcript has 3 exons. Lineage: Eukaryota; Metazoa; Chordata; Mammalia; Artiodactyla; Cervidae.